AAACUGCAACUAAGACGGUUCUAUUUUCAACAAAAAUGCUGAGGCUUGAUCACCAAACUAUUGAGUCAAAUGAAUUGACUCAUUUGAGUUAAAAUUUUGAACAAGUUAUUUGUAGAGGAGUUUGUGGGAUGGUGACUAAGGUGAAGUUCCUUUCUGAUUUGGAAACCUGUUUUGUGACUAAGAAAUGACCUACUGCAUGGGGAUGCCCUGGGUUAGUGAAUGGGU
Nothoprocta perdicaria is the source of this 225-nucleotide long non-coding RNA. RefSeq lists it as uncharacterized. The transcript is spliced from 3 exons. NCBI's taxonomy places the organism in Eukaryota, Metazoa, Chordata, Aves, Tinamiformes, Tinamidae. The record is from RefSeq and is a predicted model, not a curated record.